CACCCAUCAGUAACUCAACACAAUCCAUAAGCUGCUCACUUGAUGCUUGACCUGUUACUGUGAUUUAAAGUCAUCAACCUUCUGCCAAAAUCUGAUGCCGAUGCUAGCUUGAAACUAUUUCAGAACUUGAAUCACUUGCGGAACAUGAAUCACUUGCCUCAAACCAGAAGCUCCUUGAUUCAAAACCUUUGAAACCAAUCUCAACAAACAGUAGACACCAACUGCUUAACCUGAGAUUUUCCUCACAACCACUUGAUGAACACACUGACUUGAACACCACCCUGC
This 285-nucleotide long non-coding RNA is filed under the name Brassica rapa (field mustard). RNAcentral describes it as "long non-coding RNA (BRAP_LNC001718)". Lineage: Eukaryota; Viridiplantae; Streptophyta; Magnoliopsida; Brassicales; Brassicaceae. The record is from RNAcentral.